AGCAGCCGCGGUAAUUCCAGCUCCAAUAGCGUAUAUUAAAGUUGUUGCAGUUAAAAAGCUCGUAGUUGAAUUUCGGGAUCAAUUAAUUGGUCGUGCCUCUGGUACGUACUGAUUUUAUUGGUUUCUCCCUUCUGACGAACCAUGAUGUCAUUAAUUUGGUGUCGUGGAGAAUCAGGACUGUUACUUUGAAAAAUUAGAGUGUUUAAAGCAAGCUAACGCUUGAAUACAUUAGCAUGGAAUAAUGAAAUAGGACGUUUGAUCCUAUUUUGUUGGUUUCUAGGAUCGACGUAAUGAUUAAUAGGGAUAGUUGGGGGCAUUAGUAUUCAAUUGUCAGAGGUGAAAUUCUUGGAUUUAUUGAAGACUAACUACUGCGAAAGCAUUUGCCAAGGAUGUUUUCAUUAAUCAAGAACGAAGUUAGGGGAUCGAAGACGAUCAGAUACCGUCGUAGUCUUAACCAUAAACUAUGCCGACUAGGGAUCGGAUGAUGUUAAUUUUUAAUGACUCAUUCGGCUACCG
This 516-nucleotide unclassified non-coding RNA is filed under the name uncultured Glomus. Its description in RNAcentral is "SSU rRNA". It matches the Rfam family "Eukaryotic small subunit ribosomal RNA", at positions 569 to 1089 of the family's 1831-position model. The record is from RNAcentral. Lineage: Eukaryota; Fungi; Glomeromycota; Glomeromycetes; Glomerales; Glomeraceae.